ACGUGUGGGUAGCAGUCUCCCGUGAGAUGAUACCUAAUUUUUCUGGUUCUCCUCCUCCUGUGUUCUCACCUCCAUGUGGCAACAUAGAUUUUGUGCUGUGUGAAUGUGGCCUUGCAAAUUGUGUGACAGUUCGUUAUCUACCAGGAGACCUUGUACCAGAAGGUGAGCUAGCUUGGCAGGUGAUACUAGACCUGAAGGAAAUCGUAGAGUUAGUUGUGGCACCUGUUCACACCCAAGAGACAAUCGCCUACCUUGAUGUGAAAGUGUCUGAGCACAGACAGACUACGUGAGCUUAUUCCAGGUGAGACACUGAAACCUAAACACCACUACCUUGAGCACUAUCCACACUUGAUCAUGUGCUUUGGGCCUCUUGUGGGUGUAUGGACGAUAAGAUCUGAGGCAAAACAUAGUUUUUUUAAACAAGUUGCCCGACACACCAAUAAUUUCAGGAAUAUUGCACUCACUCUGGCAACCAAACACCAGCAAUUAAUCACUUAUCACUUGCACUCAUUUAGUCCCAGUACUUCAAAUCUGGAAGUGACAAAUGUGUCCACAGUCCCUAUUGAUGUUCUGAAUGAGGAGGUUGUAGUGGCUCUUAGACAGACGUAUCCAGAGGUUAGCCAAGUUAAUCUCACAAAGAAUGUCACAACUAGGGGGGUCAACUACAGAAAUGGAAUGAUGGUUGUAUAUGAUUCAACAGCUGGAAUGCCUGAAUUUGCAGAGAUUCUACAAAUGUGUAUAGUGAGAGAUGAGUUGAGCUUCAUAGUUCGUUUAUAUUUUGCUUGGUAUCAGGAUCAUUUCAGGGCCUUUCAGUUGACUUUGUUACCAGAUAGAAAGGUUGUCCUUGUUCAGUUUGAGGAGCUAAGAGAUUGCUACCCACUUGUGGCCUACACAGUCAGAUCCAGACAUAUGGUGACCCUGAAGAGACACAUUGUCAUCAAAGAUUAGCAAAGCAGGAUGGCAGGACAAGUAACUUUCAGAGUCCUUUUUGGAGGUGACGAUGAUGCAAGAAAACUCACCAUUAAAUCUGGAAUACCAAACACUGUUUGAGGAAUUCGCUCUUCAAAUAAAGACUUUCUUCCAAGUGACUGAGCCAUUCAGACUUCAGUACAGAGACAGAGAAAUGGAUGAUCA
Melanotaenia boesemani (Boeseman's rainbowfish) is the source of this 1134-nucleotide long non-coding RNA. RefSeq lists it as uncharacterized. Lineage: Eukaryota; Metazoa; Chordata; Actinopteri; Atheriniformes; Melanotaeniidae. The record is from RefSeq and is a predicted model, not a curated record. The transcript has 5 exons.